AGAAGGAUGAAAGGCAAGUGCACAAC
RNAcentral lists this non-coding RNA (26 nucleotides) under Homo sapiens (human). The record is from RNAcentral. Lineage: Eukaryota; Metazoa; Chordata; Mammalia; Primates; Hominidae.